AAGGUUCGGGUCGAGCAUCGCGAGACAACGCGCUUCAGCGCGGCCCGCAGGGUGAGGCGCAACGCGCCGAAUAAUCCUUCUCACACCACCA
RNAcentral lists this small RNA (91 nucleotides) under Pantoea agglomerans. Its description in RNAcentral is "partial RtT sRNA". It matches the Rfam family "RtT RNA", at positions 38 to 130 of the family's 130-position model. Rfam says of the family: This family represents a bacterial cis-regulatory element known as RtT RNA. The exact function of RtT is unknown although it is thought that it may be involved in changing the cellular response in relation to amino acid starvation. The record is from RNAcentral. Lineage: Bacteria; Pseudomonadati; Pseudomonadota; Gammaproteobacteria; Enterobacterales; Erwiniaceae.